Long non-coding RNA from Drosophila sulfurigaster albostrigata, 725 nucleotides. RefSeq lists it as uncharacterized. The record is from RefSeq and is a predicted model, not a curated record. Lineage: Eukaryota; Metazoa; Arthropoda; Insecta; Diptera; Drosophilidae. The transcript is spliced from 2 exons.
UGAAUUAUGUAUCCGAUAAUAAAAAUAUUAUAAAACAUAACAUUUUACCUUAAACAAACAAGAAAAAGACCAAAUCUAACUAGAAACGCUGCCCUGCAUUGUUUUAAGCAACUAUUUCCUGGAAAUUACCAUAUAUAAUAUAAUGUUCUUUUUUCUGCCUGGUGACUAGCUUAAGAAGGAAGUAAAUUUAAAAAAAAUGCAUAAGUGCAGAAUAAGAAGCGGUUUUUUAUAAUUUGAUCUACUUCAAACAUCAAUAAACUUGAGUUGUAUUCGCUGAAAUGAGAGUUCUACGUUAAUAUUGCUGCUCUUAUUUGCAGCGGGAGACAUAUCAUUAAAUGUUAGUUUUAAGAAUUUGAUGAAGUUGAGAAAACACAAUAACAUUAACUAACAUAUAUGUAUAUUUAAUUAACGCUGGCGAAGCUGGAGUCUCAGCUGACUAGUACUAUAGAACUCUUGGGGUCCCAAUGAAAGUUUAAGAUUCAGAUUUUCUUGCAUACUCAAAAUGUGUUUAUUAAUUGUAGUUGUUUUACAUCACUAAAGAAUUUGUGUAAAAGUCAAAUGACCUUCUCAAAGUUAGGCUACAUAUGAAAAUAAAAAUAAUGAUAAUAUAGUUAAAGCAAACAUUUUUCAAUAAAACUGCUUUAAUUCUUGAAGGCACAUUUUUAGGUCAGAUCGUGAUUUAAAUUAUACAAAGGUCUAUAAUGGACGAAUAAUAAACUGCAUUU